Molecule: ribosomal RNA, 498 nt
Filed under: uncultured bacterium
Lineage: Bacteria
Description: partial 16S ribosomal RNA
Rfam family: Bacterial small subunit ribosomal RNA
Source: RNAcentral
GACGAACGCUGGCGGCAUGCCUAACACAUGCAAGUCGAACGGAGAUUAUUUCGGUACUCUUAGUGGCGAACGGGUGAGUAACGCGUGGGCAACCUGCCCUCUAGAUGGGGACAACAUCCCGAAAGGGGUGCUAAUACCGAAUGUGACAGCAAUCUCGCAUGAGGAUGCUGUGAAAGAUGGCCUCUAUUUAUAAGCUAUCGCUAGAGGAUGGGCCUGCGUCUGAUUAGCUAGUUGGUGGGGUAACGGCCUACCAAGGCGAUGAUCAGUAGCCGGUCUGAGAGGAUGAACGGCCACAUUGGGACUGAGACACGGCCCAGACUCCUACGGGAGGCAGCAGUGGGGAAUCUUCCGCAAUGGGCGAAAGCCUGACGGAGCAAUGCCGCGUGAGUGAUGAAGGAAGUCGUUCCGUAAAGCUCUUUUGUUUAUGACGAAUGUGCAGAUUGUGAACAAUGAUCUGUAAUGACGGUAGUAAACGAAUAAGCCACGGCUAACUACGUG